GAUGAACGCUGGCGGCGUGCCUAAUACAUGCAAGUCGAGCGAACAGAUAAGGAGCUUGCUCCUUUGACGUUAGCGGCGGACGGGUGAGUAACACGUGGGUAACCUACCUAUAAGACUGGGAUAACUUCGGGAAACCGGAGCUAAUACCGGAUAAUAUUUCGAACCGCAUGGUUCGAUAGUGAAAGAUGGUUUUGCUAUCACUUAUAGAUGGACCCGCGCCGUAUUAGCUAGUUGGUAAGGUAACGGCUUACCAAGGCGACGAUACGUAGCCGACCUGAGAGGGUAAUCGGCCACACUGGAACUGAGACACGGUCCAGACUCCUACGGGAGGCAGCAGUAGGGAAUCUGCCGCAAGGGGCGAAAGCCUGACGGAGCAACGCCGCGUGAGUGAUGAAGGGCUUCGGAUCGUAAAACUCUGUUAUUAGGGAAGAACAAACGUGUAAGUAACUGUGCACGUCUUGACGGUACCGAAUCAGAAAGCAACGGCUAACUACGUG
This 497-nucleotide ribosomal RNA is filed under the name uncultured bacterium. RNAcentral describes it as "partial 16S ribosomal RNA". It matches the Rfam family "Bacterial small subunit ribosomal RNA", at positions 28 to 507 of the family's 1533-position model. The record is from RNAcentral.